CAAUAAGCGGAGGAAAAGAAACUAACAAGGAUUCCCCUAGUAACUGCGAGUGAAGCGGGAAAAGCUCAAAUUUGAAAUCUGGCAGUCUAUUUUUUCUUCUUUGGCUGUCCGAAUUGUAAUCUAGAGAAGUGCUUACCUGCACUGGACCAUGUAUAAGUCUCCUGGAAUGGAGCGUCGCAGAGGGUGAGAAUCCCGUCUUUGACAUGGACUGCCAGUGUGUUGUGGUGUGCUCUCAAAGAGUCGAGUUGUUUGGGAAUGCAGCUCUAAAUGGGUGGUAAACUCCAUCUAAAGCUAAAUAUUGGCGAGAGACCGAUAGCGAACAAGUACCGUGAGGGAAAGAUGAAAAGGACUUUGGAAAGAGAGUUAAACAGUAUGUGAAAUUGUUGAAAGGGAAACGCUUGAAGUCAGUUGUGUCGGUUAGGGAUCAACCUAGCUUUUUUUGCUGGGUGAAUUUCCUAGUCUGACAGGCCAACAUCAGUCUUGACUGCUGGAAAAGAGCAGGGGGAAUGUGGCACCUUUGGGUGUGUUAUAGCCUUUUGUCAUAUGUGGCAGUUGGGACUGAGGGAUGCAGCGUGCCGCGAGGCUGGGUUUCGACCACGUUCACGCUUAGGAUGUUGGCUUUUAAUGGCUUCAAUCGACCCGUCUUGA
Molecule: ribosomal RNA, 648 nt
Filed under: Amanita umbrinolutea
Lineage: Eukaryota; Fungi; Basidiomycota; Agaricomycetes; Agaricales; Amanitaceae
Description: LSU rRNA
Rfam family: Eukaryotic large subunit ribosomal RNA
Source: RNAcentral